UUUCAGUCGCCAGCUUCCGGUGCAACAGGAAAAUGGUCUGUCUUCACUUGGCCCCCUAAAGGUCACCAUGGAACUUGUCUUAGGAAACAAGGAUUUCACUGGCAUCAGUGCUAAGUUAAGACGCAGCACCCAGCCUGCUCCACCUUCAGCUGCUGCAAGUCUAGAUGCGGUACUGCCUGAGACAGGCCAGGGCACUGCCUGUACCAACAGUACCACCUGCACCACCUGUACCAACAGUCCACAGAGCCCAAAUAAAAUUCACAAGGAAA
Molecule: long non-coding RNA, 269 nt
Filed under: Rattus norvegicus (Norway rat)
Lineage: Eukaryota; Metazoa; Chordata; Mammalia; Rodentia; Muridae
Description: long non-coding RNA NONRATT001009
Source: RNAcentral